RNAcentral lists this long non-coding RNA (285 nucleotides) under Elaeis guineensis (African oil palm). RNAcentral describes it as "long non-coding RNA (EGUI_LNC018172)". Lineage: Eukaryota; Viridiplantae; Streptophyta; Magnoliopsida; Arecales; Arecaceae. The record is from RNAcentral.
GGUUUAUAUCAAGCAAUUGCAGAAGAAUUAGCUUGGAUCUCGAUACUAUAUAUCUUUUUGUAGGAUAAUUCUAAAGAAUCUAGGGGAUAUAACUUCUAUCUUACUAAAAAACAAGAGUUGUUCGGUAUUCUUUUAAAAAAAGAAGUACUUUAGUGAAGGUACUGAUGCCUUUAAUAUUGAACUUAUGAAGUUCGACAGGUAGAAGAGUCAACAUAAUCUAGUGAACUAAUAGAAUCAAAUUUGAUUAGAUCAUAUCCAAAAUCCAUUGUAGAGGCACCAUAAAGG